This 335-nucleotide ribosomal RNA is filed under the name uncultured bacterium. RNAcentral's name for it is "bacterial SSU rRNA". It matches the Rfam family "Bacterial small subunit ribosomal RNA", at positions 338 to 672 of the family's 1533-position model. The record is from RNAcentral.
CCUACGGGAGGCAGCAGUAAGGAAUAUUGGUCAAUGGACGAAAGUCUGAACCAGCCAUGCCGCGUGAAGGAUGAAGGCCCUCUGGGUUGUAAACUUCUUUUAUCUGGGACGAAAAAGCUCAUUCUUGAGCACUUGACGGUACCAGAGGAAUAAGCACCGGCUAACUCCGUGCCAGCAGCCGCGGUAAUACGGAGGGUGCAAGCGUUAUCCGGAUUCACUGGGUUUAAAGGGUGCGUAGGUGGGUUUGUAAGUCAGUGGUGAAAUCUCCGAGCUUAACUCGGAAACUGCCAUUGAUACUAUAGAUCUUGAAUCAUCUGGAGUAAGCGGAAUAUGUC